UCUAAAACAUAAGCAUGUGUACAUUCUCCUUCAUCCUUUCAUGUGUUCAUUUAUUCUCUUUCUCUCACACACACACUCACACUUUCACACUCUCUUUCUCAGACAGACACACAGACACAAGGCUUCCAGCACCUCAUCCUCCCCGUCAUCAAGUAAACCAGUAAAAAGCAGGAUCAGUGUCCUGCUGAAAUGUCCACCCUUGUUUCAUCUUCAUCCUCCUGAGAUGGCAGCAGAUUUUUAUCAAGAAUGUGUUGAGUCCCUCCCUGAAAAUAGUCUGCAGUGCGGCAUCAUUCUGUCCUCUCUGGGCUGCCAAGGCAAGGAAUUGAUGGCAUCUUGGCGGGUUCGGAUGUUCCAAGAAGCGCCUGUAUCAGGGCAGCUUUGGAGGUUUGGAGGGCUGUCACUAAAUAGGGUAAUUGCAGCUGAACCACCUACUGGCAUAUUUUUAGGAGGUGGGAGGACAGACAGCUCAAGAUUAAAAUGGGUUCCUUGGAAUGGUGAGAUGGUGAAGCUGUGCUGCCCUGCGAUUAUUGAUAAUAUUCUGU
Molecule: long non-coding RNA, 542 nt
Organism: Hemibagrus wyckioides
Lineage: Eukaryota; Metazoa; Chordata; Actinopteri; Siluriformes; Bagridae
Exons: 4
Source: RefSeq, a predicted model, not a curated record